Molecule: ribosomal RNA, 393 nt
Filed under: uncultured bacterium
Lineage: Bacteria
Description: partial 16S ribosomal RNA
Rfam family: Bacterial small subunit ribosomal RNA
Source: RNAcentral
AUACGGAAGGUCCGGGCGUUAUCCGGGUUUAUUGGGUUUAAAGGGAGCGCAGGCGGAGAUGCAAGCGUGACGUCAAAUUUCGGGGCUCAACCCCGUCUCGCGUCGCGAACUGCGUCCCUUGGUUGCGGGAAGGGGAGGCGGAACUCGUGGUGUAGCGGUGAAAUGCAUAGAUAUCACGAAGAACUCCGAUCGCGAAGGCAGCCUUCCGGCCCGUCAACGACGCUCAUGCUCGAAGGUGCGGGUAUCAAACAGGAUUAGAUACCCUGGUAGUCCGCACAGUAAACGAUGGACACCCGCGGUUUGGCCUAUAUGGCUGAGCCGCCAAGCGAAAGCGUUAAGUGUCCCACCUGGGGAGUACGCCGGCAACGGUGAAACUCAAAGGAAUUGACGGGG